CUGUCACCUGUCAGAUGGUCAGUCUGCAGUAGUUAUGUUUAAUGACAGCUUUUUGAAAACGAUGCUUAGAAUUUGAUCACACUCACACCGACUUCUGAGAAUAGCUAAAUGUUCUACUGAUAUUCGCUAGCUACAGGCUUUAAAUUAAAACAGCUUUAACAGGCGACGUUACAGGUGUGUUAUACCCGUUAAAAGAUGGAGGGAGAAAAUCUGGUAAUGCGCUGGUUCAUCAUAGGGUGUCUGUGUGCCGGGGUAGUCGUCAGUGCCAUGCUGCUGCUGUGCUGUUGUAAUAGACGAGCAUCCAGAGACUCGAACGACAACGAAAACUAUCUGAUCGGCUACAACAACCAGAAGACAGAGAUAACAUCAGUAGCCUCGGCAGACAUGGAUGAAAUAACAGAUGCCAAUAGACAGUUAAAUCCAAAGUAGGAUGAUAAAGGAGUGAACAGAUACAAGUAUUAUGAUGUCACGUGAUCUGUCAACAUAUUUUAAUUGACUUUUGUUACAAACUCUCAAGAUUGUGUAGGAGGAGGAUGCCAUGGAGUCAAAGGUGUCCUAAAACAACGUUAUAAUAUCGAAUCCACACGACAAAACUAUUUACAUUGUAGUUAUACCACAUCAAAUACUGGUACCACUAAAUCCAAAUAGUUUAUACAGAGGAGAUUUCCAUUGGUUGAUGACUGACAAUACUACAUAUACAUGUGAUGCACGUAUAUGGUAUUGCUUUCCAGGAAACCAUGCACACUAUACUCUCUUCUAAAAUCCUCUUUCGGAUUGGAAAUCUAAACAAGUGAGCUGUGUUUCAAAUGUCUUGUCUGAAUUCUGUUUGAUUGAAUUGUAUGUGAAAUGGAAACAGUGUACCACUUAAAAAUAUUGCGUGCGCAACUUAACUUACAUAAAUGAAUGAUUCAUCUCAUUUAAUAGAUAUAGUAGACUUUCUGGGUAUUAACGUGAAGUAAACUUUAAUGCUGACAACGCAAAUGAAAAGGCUUUUGCUUUGAAAUAAAAAACAUAAUUUUUGAAAUAGUUUGGAGAUAUUCCCCCGGAUAUAUAUAUACAUCUUCCAGACUCGUAUCCAAGCAGACUUCAACUAAAAUGUCUGACACUUCCUUGGAAACGGUGACCGGAAGAUACAUAUGUACAAGUAUAUUUAUCUCGGGGAACAUCUCCAAACCAUUGUAAUUUUUUUUUUUUAUUUCAAAACGAAAGUUUUUUUAACUUGCACUGUCAGCUUUAAAUACGUUUGAUUGGUUUAUACGGUGACAUUUGACCAGGACUUCUUUUUAAUCGCGUGGUUCAAUGGGUUUUGAUUGGCUAACAUUUUAAAAGCGUUUCACAGGGUCGCGGAAGUGAUGACACACAGAAAGUAGAUUACAAUUGUUUUUGUGAGUGUGUGAUAUUUCCUUUAUAUAUAGAUUUCUAUCAAUGUAUUGCUUGAAAAAUAAUAAACUCGCUAAUCAUUGGUUAUGAUCAGCAAUAAAUUGUAAUAUCUGCACACAUUUCAUUAAUUGUCAGUUUGGCAUAUUAAUUAGCGGCUUUUCACAGUAGGUCAUAUCCUUACACCUGAUUUUGUGAAAAGAGCACAUGUUGAAAAAUAAAAGUUAUUUCACUCUCAUGUGGUAACUUCAUUAAAACUACGACGCAAACAAAUAGAAAAUUAAUUUUAUUAUAACAAGCGUAGGAAAUGUAUAAUUCAAUCUAACUAUCCAAUCAGAUAAAUUAAUGUAUAUAGAAGAGCUUGCUAAAACAAACGGUACAUUGAUAAAUUCUCAUAAAUAUUAAUAAACAGAUCGCGAUUCCUUCAGCAGCAAUCAUAAAAUAGAAUCGAAUACGUCAACAACCAACCAAUAUUCAUUAUGGUACAACUGUAGAUACAGAAUGAAGUUAUAUGACAAAUUCACACAUAUAAACUUAUGAAUACACAAUGGACGAUGAUUUUCAUUCCGCCAUUAAUCUGUUAGUCGAUACGAUACCUAUCCGUACAAGUUAGGAUUAUAUUCCAUUUUACUGUAACUUUUAUGAGCACCAUUACCAGUGUAAUUCAUGGCUAAAACGAACAACAUAGAAAUAACAUAAUAAUAAAUUGUAUACAUAAUACUAAAUUAGGAUACAGGACCGCCUUCCUCAGUUCUAACGCCUGUUUAAUAACAUACAUGUUUAUUCAGCUAGAUCAAUUCACAACAACAGGUUUGGAUGUUAUAUAAAAAUAUGACUAAAUAGUUGUGUGUUUAAAAAAA
Pecten maximus is the source of this 2237-nucleotide long non-coding RNA. RefSeq lists it as uncharacterized. Lineage: Eukaryota; Metazoa; Mollusca; Bivalvia; Pectinida; Pectinidae. The transcript is spliced from 2 exons. The record is from RefSeq and is a predicted model, not a curated record.